GGAAUAUAAGAACUCGUCUCUUAAUUUUUAAGUAAAAAAUGUAAGAACUGGUUCUUAAAUAAGAGUUUUAAGAGCUAGUUUUUAACUUUUUAGUUAAAAGUUAAGAGACAGAUUCUUAUAUUUU
RNAcentral lists this microRNA precursor (124 nucleotides) under Brassica napus (rape). RNAcentral's name for it is "MIR9563 microRNA precursor family". It matches the Rfam family "MIR9563 microRNA precursor family". Lineage: Eukaryota; Viridiplantae; Streptophyta; Magnoliopsida; Brassicales; Brassicaceae. The record is from Rfam by way of RNAcentral.